UAUUAAAAAUUUAGAACAUCUUGACUAUAAGACUAGUCCUACUUCGAUUGAUUCUCAUCAUCAUUUAAUUCAUAACACCAUUAAUGCUAUACAUCAAAAACAAUUGUUAAUACUAUUGAAAGUCUAAAUUCUGUUGUGAAUAAUACUAGACCUGAAUUGCUUAUGCUAUUGAUCUGCUUAGUAGAUUUACUCAUAAUCCUAAUUCUAAUCAUUGAUGGAAAUUUCAUAGAUGGUUUAGAUAUUUGACAUAUAUUAUGAAUUAUAGUUUAGUUUUGAUCAUAACUCUAUUAUUUUAGAAUGUCAUAAUGAUGCUAAUUGAGCAUCUAAUAGAACCGAUUCUAAAUUUGCUAGGGUUGGGUUUUUUACUAUUGGUGUUAUUGUCAUUGCUCUAAUCAUUUAGCAAACAAACUCAUGUUACUUUAUUUAGGACAGAAUUUGAAUAUCUAGCUAUCUCUAAAGCUAGAAAAGAAAC
This 472-nucleotide long non-coding RNA is filed under the name Elaeis guineensis (African oil palm). Its description in RNAcentral is "long non-coding RNA (EGUI_LNC075114)". The record is from RNAcentral. Lineage: Eukaryota; Viridiplantae; Streptophyta; Magnoliopsida; Arecales; Arecaceae.